This 201-nucleotide long non-coding RNA is filed under the name Pan troglodytes (chimpanzee). RNAcentral describes it as "long non-coding RNA NONPTRT016971". The record is from RNAcentral. Lineage: Eukaryota; Metazoa; Chordata; Mammalia; Primates; Hominidae.
UUAAGCAAAAAAUUGCAUUUUCUGAAUCAAUAAAUGUUGAGUUGAUAUUAUCCCAUUGAGAUGAGAUUAACGUAUCUACAAAAAUCGUAAUGUUUAUGAACCCUCUUUUAAAGUAACAACUAGGCUUUUUUCACUAACUAUAUGUCAAGAAAAUGUUACAUGCCAAUAAGUGUACACAUACAUACAACACAUGUACAUAUA